GGGGGCAGCUUACCAUGCAAGUCGAGCGGUAACAGGGGGUGCUUGCACCCCGCUGACGAGCGGCGGACGGGUGAGUAAUGCAUAGGAAUCUGCCCAGUAGUGGGGGAUAGCCCGGGGAAACCCGGAUUAAUACCGCAUACGCCCUUUGGGGGAAAGCAGGGGAUCUUCGGACCUUGCGCUAUUGGAUGAGCCUAUGUCGGAUUAGCUAGUUGGUGGGGUAAAGGCCUACCAAGGCGACGAUCCGUAGCUGGUCUGAGAGGAUGAUCAGCCACAUCGGGACUGAGACACGGCCCGAACUCCUACGGGAGGCAGCAGUGGGGAAUAUUGGACAAUGGGGGCAACCCUGAUCCAGCCAUGCCGCGUGUGUGAAGAAGGCUUUCGGGUUGUAAAGCACUUUCAGUGAGGAGGAAAACCUUCUGGUUAAUACCCAUGAGGCUUGACGUUACUCACAGAAGAAGCACCGGCUAACUCCGUGCCAGCAGCCGCGGUAAUACGGAGGGUGCAAGCGUUAAUCGGAAUUACUGGGCGUAAAGCGCGCGUAGGUGGUUUGAUAAGCGAGAUGUGAAAGCCCCGGGCUUAACCUGGGAACGGCAUUUCGAA
RNAcentral lists this ribosomal RNA (600 nucleotides) under Marinobacter sp. Its description in RNAcentral is "bacterial SSU rRNA". It matches the Rfam family "Bacterial small subunit ribosomal RNA", at positions 41 to 632 of the family's 1533-position model. The record is from RNAcentral. Lineage: Bacteria; Pseudomonadati; Pseudomonadota; Gammaproteobacteria; Pseudomonadales; Marinobacteraceae.